UGCUGUUAUCUCAAUAUUCACGGCAGUGAAUAAAUGGAAUCAUUGGCUGAGAACACGUCAUGUCCGAUACGAUAGGUGGCGCUGUUUUCAUUACAACUAGUUGUGAUGCAGCCAUUUCCGCUUGACCUCUUCACCACGACCAACAACAACAACAACAACAACAUCAACGUCAGGAGAAAGACGGCGAGCGGAGAGCGAGGUGAAGCUACGUCCCUCGACUAUGUGUGCGUGAUGCUAACAGCAGCGCGGCGAAUGCGAAUGGCGCUAUUGGCUGAUUCGAUAACGGAGAGAAGACGCCGUCGCCGAAGCUUGUGGAGCAUCAGCUGUAAGAUGCCUGGGUGAGCUCAUGACGCUAACGUGCUCAGCCAGACACGCCUGUUAGCAGAAGAACCGAGAGAAAUCGCUCACUUCCUGUUGGGAAGCUGUGGAUCCCAACUGGUCAGUGGAAGCGGCCACACUGGCAUCGAACCUGCCACAGCCAGGUGGUCGUGGCAACAACCGUGGACAGAGGAUCAGAGCCGCCCUCAGAUUACCUGAGUGCAAACCUGCCCCGCGCAGACCUUUAGACGUCUUCAGGACACAACUGCCAGCUGGUCAUAGGUUAGUGGGAAGAUCUACACGUUUCUCAAAGGCUAAGGGCUAGCUAGCAAGUGGCACCCAUGUUAGCUAUGAAAGCUACGGUUAUCAAGUGGGACCCGGGUUAGCCUUACGUUUUAUCAUUGUUACAUUGUUUUCAUCGUCGAUUUAAUUCCUCGCUAGUUAUGGGAAGGUACACAUGUUUCAACACAUAUUAGCACUGCUAACACGUCUCACAAACAGCAUCAGCUAGCAUCUGGUACCUAGCACUUGUUUUAGUGUGAUGCAACUGAAAUGAACUUACCC
Molecule: non-coding RNA, 882 nt
Organism: Gasterosteus aculeatus aculeatus (three-spined stickleback)
Lineage: Eukaryota; Metazoa; Chordata; Actinopteri; Perciformes; Gasterosteidae
Source: RefSeq, a predicted model, not a curated record